CUUCGUUUCCUCGGCGGGUCCGCCCGCCGAUUGGACAACAUUCAAACCCUUUGCAGUUGCAAUCAGCGUCUGAAAAAACAUAAUAGUUACAACUUUCAACAACGGAUCUCUUGGUUCUGGCAUCGAUGAAGAACGCAGCGAAAUGCGAUAAGUAGUGUGAAUUGCAGAAUUCAGUGAAUCAUCGAAUCUUUGAACGCACAUUGCGCCCCUUGGUAUUCCAUGGGGCAUGCCUGUUCGAGCGUCAUUUGUACCUUCAAGCUCUGCUUGGUGUUGGGUGUUUGUCUCGCCUCCGCGUGUAGACUCGCCUUAAAACAAUUGGCAGCCGGCGUAUUGAUUUCGGAGCGCAGUACAUCUCGCGCUUUGCACUCAUAACGACGACGUCCAAAAGUACAUUUUUACACUCUUGACCUCGGAUCAGGUAGGGAUACCCGCUGAACU
This 438-nucleotide ribosomal RNA is filed under the name Epicoccum nigrum. RNAcentral describes it as "eukaryotic LSU rRNA". The stretch from base 91 to 244 matches the Rfam family "5.8S ribosomal RNA". Lineage: Eukaryota; Fungi; Ascomycota; Dothideomycetes; Pleosporales; Didymellaceae. The record is from RNAcentral.